RNAcentral lists this transfer RNA (53 nucleotides) under Thunbergia colpifera. Its description in RNAcentral is "partial tRNA-His". The record is from RNAcentral. RNAcentral also lists the same sequence under 1 other name. Lineage: Eukaryota; Viridiplantae; Streptophyta; Magnoliopsida; Lamiales; Acanthaceae.
UCGCGCAUGGUGGAUUCACAAUCCACUGCCUUGAUCCACUUGGCUACAUCCGC